Lytechinus variegatus (green sea urchin) is the source of this 375-nucleotide long non-coding RNA. RefSeq lists it as uncharacterized. The transcript has 3 exons. The record is from RefSeq and is a predicted model, not a curated record. Lineage: Eukaryota; Metazoa; Echinodermata; Echinoidea; Temnopleuroida; Toxopneustidae.
AUGAAGGAUCGGAUGAUGAAGGAUCAGAUGAUGACGGAUCAGAUGAUGAAGGAUCAGAUGAUGAAGGGAAGGGUGAUGGUGAUUGAGGGCGCUUUGUUCUUACAAGAGGCAUCACUUUCAGUCAGCAGUGAUAUAUAAGCUUUACCAUACGGCUGGGAGAAUGCUAACACAGCUGAUAGAAGACAAUAGUACCUAAAUCAUGUCACUCAGUGUACAACAUGGAGGCACCCCCUUUCAGAUGCUAACCAUCUUCCAAGCAUAAAUGAGAGAUACUGGUAGUCUACCUGAGACAAGGACAUGGAUGGUACCAAUCUUGAAUCGUCAUCUACAUGGAAUGUCUGGUGUGAUCAUUUGUUGGUAUCUACAUAGAUGUGA